GCCCGUUUAGCUCAGUGGUAGAGCGCGCCACUCGUAUGUCACGUGGUGACACGUGAUAACACGUCACGUGACUCGGAAAUGGUGAGGUCGGUUGUUCAAUCCAGCCAGUGGGCA
Molecule: non-coding RNA, 114 nt
Organism: Cristinia sonorae
Lineage: Eukaryota; Fungi; Basidiomycota; Agaricomycetes; Agaricales; Stephanosporaceae
Source: the annotation of a GenBank genome assembly